UGAGGAAUAGUGCGCAAUGGGGGAAACCCUGACGCAGCAACGCCGCGUGAGUGAGGAAGGUUUUCGGACCGUAAAGCUCUGUCGAGCGGGAAGAAAUGCAUGGUGGCUAAUAUCCAUCAUGCUUGACGGUACCGCUAAAGGAAGCACCGGCUAACUCCGUGCCAGCAGCCGCGGUAAUACGGGGGGUGCGAGCGUUGUUCGGAAUUAUUGGGCGUAAAGAGCGUGUAGGCGGCUGAAUAAGUCAGAUGUGAAAUCCCUGGGCUUAACCCAGGACGUGCAUUUGAAACUAUUCGGCUAGAGUAGGGGAGAGGAAAGUGGAAUUCCUGGUGUACAUGUGAAAUUCGUAGAUAUCAGGAGGUACACCGGUGGCGAAUGCUACCUUCUGGCCCUAUACUGACGCUGAGACGCGAGAGCGUGGGUAGCCAAUA
This 428-nucleotide ribosomal RNA is filed under the name uncultured prokaryote. RNAcentral describes it as "bacterial SSU rRNA". It matches the Rfam family "Bacterial small subunit ribosomal RNA", at positions 355 to 774 of the family's 1533-position model. The record is from RNAcentral.